RNAcentral lists this ribosomal RNA (440 nucleotides) under uncultured bacterium. RNAcentral's name for it is "partial 16S ribosomal RNA". It matches the Rfam family "Bacterial small subunit ribosomal RNA", at positions 338 to 795 of the family's 1533-position model. The record is from RNAcentral.
CUUACGGGUGGCAGCAGUGGGGGAUAUUGCACAAUGGGGGAAACCCUGAUGCAGCGACGCCGCGUGUGGGAAGACGGUCUUCUGGAUUGUAAACCACUGUCCCCAGGGACGAAAAUGACGGUACCUGGGGAGGAAGCUCCGGCUAACUACGUGCCAGCAGCCGCGGUAAUACGUAGGGAGCAAGCGUUGUCCGGAAUUACUGGGUGUAAAGGGAGCGUAGGCGGGGAUGCAAGUUGGGUGUCAAAACUACCGGCUCAACCGAUAGUCGCACUCAAAACUGCAACUCUUGAGUGAAGUAGAGGCAGGCGGAAUUCCUAGUGUAGCGGUGAAAUGCGUAGAUAUUAGGAGGAACACCAGUGGCGAAGGCGGCCUGCUGGGCUUUUACUGACGCUGAGGCUCGAAAGUGUGGGGAGCAAACAGGAUUAGAUACCCGGGUAGUC